GGUUAAGCGACUAAGCGUACACGGUGGAUGCCCUGGCAGUCAGAGGCGAUGAAGGACGUGCUAAUCUGCGAUAAGCGUCGGUGAGGUGAUAUGAACCGUUAUAACCGGCGAUUUCCGAAUGGGGAAACCCAGUGUGAUUCGUCACACUAUCAUUAACUGAAUCCAUAGGUUAAUGAGGCGAACCGGGGGAACUGAAACAUCUAAGUACCCCGAGGAAAAGAAAUCAACCGAGAUUCCCCCAGUAGCGGCGAGCGAACGGGGAGGAGCCCAGAGCCUGAAUCAG
This 283-nucleotide ribosomal RNA is filed under the name Escherichia coli. RNAcentral's name for it is "partial 23S ribosomal RNA". It matches the Rfam family "Bacterial large subunit ribosomal RNA", at positions 1 to 284 of the family's 2925-position model. Lineage: Bacteria; Pseudomonadati; Pseudomonadota; Gammaproteobacteria; Enterobacterales; Enterobacteriaceae. The record is from RNAcentral.